AGUGAACGCUGGCGGUAGGCCUAACACAUGCAAGUCGAACGGCAGCACAGUAAGAGCUUGCUCUUACGGGUGGCGAGUGGCGGACGGGUGAGGAAUACAUCGGAAUCUACUUUUUCGUGGGGGAUAACGUAGGGAAACUUACGCUAAUACCGCAUACGACCUACGGGUGAAAGCAGGGGAUCUUCGGACCUUGCGCGAUUGAAUGAACCGAUGUCGGAUUAGCUAGUUGGCGGGGUAAAGGCCCACCAAGGCGACGAUCCGUAGCUGGUCUGAGAGGAUGAUCAGCCACACUGGAACUGUGACACGGUCCAGACUCCUACGGGAGGCAGCAGUGGGGAAUAUUGUACAAUGGGCGCAAGCCUGAUCCAGCCAUACCGCGUGGGUGAAGAAGGCCUUCGGGUUGUAAAGCCCUUUUGUUGGGAAAGAAAAGCAGCAGGUUAAUACCCCGCUGUUCUGACGGUACCCAAAGAAUAAGCACCGGCUAACUUCGUG
This 492-nucleotide ribosomal RNA is filed under the name uncultured bacterium. RNAcentral describes it as "partial 16S ribosomal RNA". It matches the Rfam family "Bacterial small subunit ribosomal RNA", at positions 29 to 507 of the family's 1533-position model. The record is from RNAcentral.